Molecule: ribosomal RNA, 765 nt
Filed under: uncultured Streptococcus sp.
Lineage: Bacteria; Bacillati; Bacillota; Bacilli; Lactobacillales; Streptococcaceae
Description: bacterial SSU rRNA
Rfam family: Bacterial small subunit ribosomal RNA
Source: RNAcentral
GACGGACGCUGGCGGCGUGCCUAAUACAUGCAAGUAGAACGCUGAGGUUUGGUGUUUACACUAGACUGAUGAGUUGCGAACGGGUGAGUAACGCGUAGGUAACCUGCCUCAUAGCGGGGGAUAACUAUUGGAAACGAUAGCUAAUACCGCAUAAGAGUAAUUAACACAUGUUAGUUAUUUAAAAGGAGCAAUUGCUUCACUGUGAGAUGGACCUGCGUUGUAUUAGCUAGUUGGUGAGGUAAAGGCUCACCAAGGCGACGAUACAUAGCCGACCUGAGAGGGUGAUCGGCCACACUGGGACUGAGACACGGCCCAGACUCCUACGGGAGGCAGCAGUAGGGAAUCUUCGGCAAUGGACGGAAGUCUGACCGAGCAACGCCGCGUGAGUGAAGAAGGUUUUCGGAUCGUAAAGCUCUGUUGUUAGAGAAGAACGUUGGUAGGAGUGGAAAAUCUACCGAGUGACGGUAACUAACCAGAAAGGGACGGCUAACUACGUGCCAGCAGCCGCGGUAAUACGUAGGUCCCGAGCGUUGUCCGGAUUUAUUGGGCGUAAAGCGAGCGCAGGCGGUUCUUUAAGUCUGAAGUUAAAGGCAGUGGCUUAACCAUUGUACGCUUUGGAAACUGGAGGACUUGAGUGCAGAAGGGGAGAGUGGAAUUCCAUGUGUAGCGGUGAAAUGCGUAGAUAUAUGGAGGAACACCGGUAGCGAAAGCGGCUCUCUGGUCUGUAACUGACGCUGAGGCUCGAAAGCGUGGGGAGCAAACAGG